Molecule: ribosomal RNA, 203 nt
Filed under: uncultured bacterium
Lineage: Bacteria
Description: partial 16S ribosomal RNA
Rfam family: Bacterial small subunit ribosomal RNA
Source: RNAcentral
GUAGUCUGCAACUCGACUACAUGAAGCUGGAAUCGCUAGUAAUCGCGGAUCAGAAUGCCGCGGUGAAUACGUUCCCGGGUCUUGUACACACCGCCCGUCACACCAUGGGAGUCAGUAACGCCCGAAGCCGGUGACCCAACCAGGAAUGGAGGGAGCCGUCGAAGGCGGGAUUGGUAACUGGGGUGAAGUCGUAACAAGGUAAC